CAGGAUGGACCCGCGUCUGAUUAGCUGGUUGGUGAGGUAACGGCUCACCAAGGCGACGAUCAGUAGCCGGCUUGAGAGAGUGAACGGCCACAUUGGGACUGAGACACGGCCCAAACUCCUACGGGAGGCAGCAUG
RNAcentral lists this ribosomal RNA (135 nucleotides) under uncultured bacterium. RNAcentral describes it as "partial 16S ribosomal RNA". It matches the Rfam family "Bacterial small subunit ribosomal RNA", at positions 221 to 353 of the family's 1533-position model. The record is from RNAcentral.